CUGUUGAUGCAAAAACUAAUCUGCAAACACAAAGGGCUAAUACCCGAUCCAAACGUUAAGGCGUGCCAGCCGAUUUGACCUUACUAUCGGCAAAGGUGAUAACUCGAAUACUUUAGUCCUGACAACAGCGAUGCGCCCGGAUGUCACGGCUAAGAGGUACUCACGCGGAACUUGAGGAUACGCCGAGCUUGAGUCGACGAAUUCCUAAGAACUCGUAACAAAAAGAAAACGUAUGACGAAGUCGUCGAAAAGUAAAUGCUGGAAUAUGAGUAAAAACGUGUGUUUGAUUGAUUAUUACAAGGUCCUAGGGCUUAUAUUUAUACCCUGCUCAAAGAGCUAAGACCAGACACGAUUAGAAUUCGAAUUCCAAUUUACACGGAACCCGUAUACAAAACGAUGCGAAUAACUAAGGAAAUAAUAAAACCACCCUUCGUAACAAACCAAAACUCCUCCACAUGACAACUGGCAGCUUCCGGACUCCUCCUUCGCGUCAUCGGCAAUCCCCUUGCCAUAGUCAUCGGCAGACCUUUUUACUUGGUCAUCGGCACCGUAUUACUGCUUGAGGACUUAGUCACAUUCAACCUUUCCCUCAUCGGCGACCAUCCUUAUCAGC
RNAcentral lists this long non-coding RNA (613 nucleotides) under Sorghum bicolor (sorghum). RNAcentral's name for it is "long non-coding RNA (SBIC_LNC004276)". Lineage: Eukaryota; Viridiplantae; Streptophyta; Magnoliopsida; Poales; Poaceae. The record is from RNAcentral.